Molecule: long non-coding RNA, 548 nt
Organism: Ornithorhynchus anatinus (platypus)
Lineage: Eukaryota; Metazoa; Chordata; Mammalia; Monotremata; Ornithorhynchidae
Exons: 3
Source: RefSeq, a predicted model, not a curated record
UGCUCCCCUGGGCCCGCUCCGACUCCGAGCUCCCGAGGCCCCGGCCGCACGGCUCCCCGGGGACCUCGCGACCCGGGCGUGGACCGGGGUGUCCGUCCCACGGACGAGGGACGGCGGGGAGGUGUGGGCUGAUCCGUUGGCGUGAGUUUCGGAGCCUCCCCCGGCCCCGCUCCCCGGCUUGCCCGUGCCCUUCCUUCCUUCCUUCCCUCCCCGGGGGGGGCUUGGGCAGUGGAAGGGGAAGGGCCUGGGGACGAUCCUGACGGUAUCAGCCCUCUCGGCCCUUGGGGUGGUGGAGGGAGAUUCGGUGGGACCGAGGCCCGGUGAGCCCCGCGUCGGAGGCGCGGUACGGCUGCUCCCCGAAACCUGCUCGAGCUGAGGCGGGAUGCUCCCAGGCUGUAUCCGGUCCAGAGGAGUCAGUGAAGUGUUCCAGGUGAAGAGUACAAAGCGGAACUUCCCGAAAUGUGGAUUUACAGGAUAGGAUCAUCUGAAGGUGCUUCCGUUCCUGGAAUGAGGUAACUGAGGCACAGAGGAAGUGAAAUGACUUGCCC